GACGUAGGGUGCAAGCGUUGCUCGGAAUCACUGGGCGUAAAGAGCGUGUAGGCGGCCUGGUAAGCGGGAUGUGAAAGCCCUCGGCUCAACCGAGGAAGUGCAUUUCGAACUGCCUGGCUUGAGUCCGGGAGAGGGUGGUGGAAUUCCUGGUGGAACGGUGAAAUGUGUAGAUAUCAGGAAGAACGUCGGUGGCGAAGGCGACCGCCUGGCCCGGUACUGACGCUGAAAUGCGAAAGCGUGGGUAGCAAACAGGAUUAGAUACCCUUGUA
RNAcentral lists this ribosomal RNA (269 nucleotides) under uncultured prokaryote. Its description in RNAcentral is "partial 16S ribosomal RNA". It matches the Rfam family "Bacterial small subunit ribosomal RNA", at positions 524 to 792 of the family's 1533-position model. The record is from RNAcentral.